AGCGCAGGCGGGAAGACAAGUUGGAAGUGAAAUCCAUGGGCUCAACCCAUGAACUGCUUUCAAAACUGUUUUUCUUUGAGUAGUGCAGAGGUAGGCGGAAUUCCCGGUGUAGCGGUGGAAUGCGUAGAUAUCGAGAGGAACACCAGUGGCGAAGGCGGCCUACUGGGCACCAACUGACGCUGAGGCUCGAAAGUGUGGUAGCAAACA
Molecule: ribosomal RNA, 207 nt
Filed under: uncultured bacterium
Lineage: Bacteria
Description: partial 16S ribosomal RNA
Rfam family: Bacterial small subunit ribosomal RNA
Source: RNAcentral